GUCGAGGGAGGAGCUUUCGGGCUUCGACCGGCGUACGGGUGCGUAACGCGUAUACAAUCUGCCUUUCACAUAGGGAUAGCCCGAAGAAAUUUGGAUUAAUACCUAAUGGUAUAUAGGGGUGGCAUCACCUUUAUAUUAAAGCUGAGGCGGUGAAAGAUGAGUAUGCGUUCUAUUAGCUAGUUGGAGAGGUAACGGCUCCCCAAGGCGACGAUAGAUAGGGGUUCUGAGAGGGAUAUCCCCCACACUGGUACUGAGAUACGGACCAGACUCCUACGGGAGGCAGCAGUGAGGAAUAUUGGACAAUGGUCGGAAGACUGAUCCAGCCAUGCCGCGUGCAGGAAGACGGCCUUAUGGGUUGUAAACUGCUUUUGCAGGGGAAGAAUAAGGACUACGCGUAGUUUGAUGACGGUACUCUGCGAAUAAGCAUCGGCUAACUCCGUGCCAGCAGCCGCGGUAAUACGGAGGAUGCGAGCGUUAUCCGGAAUCAUUGGGUUUAAAGGGUCCGUAGGCGGGCUAAUAAGUCAGAGGUGAAAGCGCUCAGCUCAACUGAGCAACUGCCUUUGAAACUGUUAGUCUUGAAUGGUUGUGAAGUAGUUGGAAUGUGUAGUGUAGCGGUGAAAUGCUUAGAUAUUACACAGAACACCGAUAGCGAAGGCAUAUUACUAACAAUUAAUUGACGCUGAUGGACGAAAGCGUGGGGAGCGAACAGGAUUAGAUACCCUGGUAGUCCACGCUGUAAACGAUGGAUACUAGCUGUUUGGAUGAAAGUUUGAGUGGC
RNAcentral lists this ribosomal RNA (778 nucleotides) under uncultured Cytophaga sp. Its description in RNAcentral is "bacterial SSU rRNA". It matches the Rfam family "Bacterial small subunit ribosomal RNA", at positions 61 to 847 of the family's 1533-position model. Lineage: Bacteria; Pseudomonadati; Bacteroidota; Cytophagia; Cytophagales; Cytophagaceae. The record is from RNAcentral.